This 234-nucleotide unclassified non-coding RNA is filed under the name uncultured fungus. RNAcentral's name for it is "sequence contains ITS1". The record is from RNAcentral. Lineage: Eukaryota; Fungi.
GUAUUAUAUUGCGUUAAACGCGGUAUGCAUUCCAUGAGACUUAACUACUGUGUGUAUGUGUAAAUACAUAGAACCACGGCAGGGAACAGAGAGCCCCCAGGCUGCAGAACUAUGGAGGGUGCACAGGUGUGAGUGGAUGUGUAAACAGAGUGUGCACGUGUCCCCGAUCGAGGACCAGCAACAACUCGUGUCGACAAUUCGGUAAUGAUCCUUCCGCAGGUUCACCUACGGAAA